Molecule: non-coding RNA, 25 nt
Filed under: Mus musculus (house mouse)
Lineage: Eukaryota; Metazoa; Chordata; Mammalia; Rodentia; Muridae
Also listed under: 1 other name
Source: RNAcentral
UAUGUUACAGAAUUGGAUGGCUGAA